RNAcentral lists this unclassified non-coding RNA (676 nucleotides) under Hevea brasiliensis (rubber tree). Lineage: Eukaryota; Viridiplantae; Streptophyta; Magnoliopsida; Malpighiales; Euphorbiaceae. The record is from RNAcentral.
GAACAGAGAGUCGAACAUUGUCACAAUCCAAAAUUUCCACACGAUAAAACUCAGUUCAUGAUCAAGAAAGCAGUGUUGGUGUCACAUCAAGUUUCGUGCCAUCUUUUAAUCGAACAGAUCAUUUGAUGAAAAAUAGAUUCAAGUGCUAAUUUAAGCCCAGCUGAGAGUGUACUUUCAUGAAUUGCAAACAGUUGUUCUCUCAGAAGAAGAUUAUUGAAACACCCAUCGUCAAGCAGCCCACUGCCACCCAAGGACUCAACCGUUCACCUAUUCUAGCAGCCUUCCAAAAGAAACCUCGAAACCCAGUUCUCUGUUCAAGUAGUGCAGGAAAAUGCAUCUUCACAUAAGUGCAUGUACAAAUCCCUAACAGCACUACUGUCAAAAAGGAGUGGAAAUUGAAGAGUGCCGACAUAUCUGAAUGCCCUCUCUAAAUCAGUUUUGCCUUCCACCAAGCCUUAAAUCAAGAUCCUAAAGCGAAAUUGCAGUGAAUAUAUGAAAAAUGAGGAUUUUUAAAACAGUAUCUGAUCUCCAGAUCCAAUCCGUUUAUCUCCGAUCUCGGAGAAUACAACAAUGGAGAGUAAACUCAAGCUAAGCCACCUCUCGAUAACCAAAUAAGCUUGAGAAAAUCUAUGAGUCGGAAGGAUGAAGAAGAUUUAAGCAAUGGAAACCACCGUCU